RNAcentral lists this ribosomal RNA (433 nucleotides) under uncultured bacterium. RNAcentral's name for it is "partial 16S ribosomal RNA". It matches the Rfam family "Bacterial small subunit ribosomal RNA", at positions 29 to 507 of the family's 1533-position model. The record is from RNAcentral.
AACGAACGCUGGCGGCAUGCCUAACACAUGCAAGUCGAACGAUCCCUUCGGGGAUAGUGGCGCACGGGUGCGUAACGCGUGGGAACCUGCCCUUAGGUUCGGAAUAACUCAGAGAAAUUUGAGCUAAUACCGGAUAAUGUCUUCGGACCAAAGAUUUAUCGCCUUUGGAUGGGCCCGCGUUGGAUUAGCUAGUUGGUGGGGUAAAGGCCUACCAAGGCGACGAUCCAUAGCUGGUCUGAGAGGAUGAUCAGCCACACUGGGACUGAGACACGGCCCAGACUCCUACGGGAGGCAGCGGUGGGGAAUAUUGGACAAUGGGCGAAAGCCUGAUCCAGCAAUGCCGCGUGAGUGAUGAAGGCCUUAGGGUUGUAAAGCUCUUUUACCCGGGAUGAUAAUGACAGUACCGGGAGAAUAAGCCCCGGCUAACUCCGUG